RNAcentral lists this ribosomal RNA (804 nucleotides) under uncultured bacterium. Its description in RNAcentral is "bacterial SSU rRNA". It matches the Rfam family "Bacterial small subunit ribosomal RNA", at positions 97 to 913 of the family's 1533-position model. The record is from RNAcentral.
GGCGAACGGGUGAGUAACACGUGAGUAACCUGCCCUUGACUCUGGGAUAAGCGUUGGAAACGACGUCUAAUACCGGAUACGAGCUUCAGCCGCAUGGCUAGGAGCUGGAAAGAACUUCGGUCAAGGAUGGACUCGCGGCCUAUCAGCUUGUUGGUGAGGUAAUGGCUCACCAAGGCGACGACGGGUAGCCGGCCUGAGAGGGUGACCGGCCACACUGGGACUGAGACACGGCCCAGACUCCUACGGGAGGCAGCAGUGGGGAAUAUUGCACAAUGGGCGAAAGCCUGAUGCAGCAACGCCGCGUGAGGGACGACGGCCUUCGGGUUGUAAACCUCUUUUAGUAGGGAAGAAGCGAAAGUGACGGUACCUGCAGAAAAAGCACCGGCUAACUACGUGCCAGCAGCCGCGGUAAUACGUAGGGUGCAAGCGUUAUCCGGAAUUAUUGGGCGUAAAGAGCUCGUAGGCGGUUUGUCGCGUCUGCUGUGAAAACCCGAGGCUCAACCUCGGGCCUGCAGUGGGUACGGGCAGACUAGAGUGCGGUAGGGGAGAUUGGAAUUCCUGGUGUAGCGGUGGAAUGCGCAGAUAUCAGGAGGAACACCGAUGGCGAAGGCAGAUCUCUGGGCCGUAACUGACGCUGAGGAGCGAAAGCAUGGGGAGCGAACAGGAUUAGAUACCCUGGUAGUCCAUGCCGUAAACGUUGGGCGCUAGAUGUGGGGACCAUUCCACGGUUUCCGUGUCGCAGCUAACGCAUUAAGCGCCCCGCCUGGGGAGUACGGCCGCAAGGCUAAAACUCAAAGGAAUUGA